Molecule: long non-coding RNA, 805 nt
Filed under: Homo sapiens (human)
Lineage: Eukaryota; Metazoa; Chordata; Mammalia; Primates; Hominidae
Description: HSALNT0071660
Source: RNAcentral
CGGGGUUUCGCCAUGGUCUCGAUCUCCUGACCUCAUGAUCCACACGCCUCGGCCUCCCAAACUGCUGGGAUUACAGGCAUGAGCCACAGCGCCCGGCCUAGCAUUUGGUAAUAUCUUGAUGUUGCUAGUUUUGUUUUAGGAAUGUGUUUCCCUCAUGAAUUCCAGGAGCACAGGUGGUUGGAAGGGCUCUCUUGACAGUGAUUUUAUAGCUCACCAUCAGAUCACAGCAUAAGACUGAAGGCUUGACUCAUCUUUCUUCUCUUGUCCUUAGUUUGUCCAUUUGUAAAAGGAGAGAGAUUUUGCUGGAGGAUAUUUGAGGACUCUUUUAUCUCUAACAUCCCAUGAAUUGCAAACAUUAUUAACUACUGUUACCUUUCAUGACAGCAGUUAAUGAAAAUUUCCUCACCUUGCUGACAUUGGAAACUUUGUCGUGUAAUGCUUUGUCUGAUUCAUGACAAUAGAACAAUUUUGUCAUUAUCUACAAGGAAGGACACUUCUAUUUAGAAUGUUAAGAGAAAACAUAGAUAUUUCUUUCCUUUCAUCCAAAAGUGAAAACCAAACUAUAAACAUAUACAUUAAAGGAAUUGGUGCAGAUAUGGUUUGAAUAUAUGUCCCCACCAAGUCCCAAGUUGAAUUGUAAUCCCCAGUGCUGGAAGUUGGGCCUGGUUGGAGGUAGGGCCUGGUGGGUCAGGAGGGUCAAUCCCUCAUGGUGCUAUCCUCCUGAUAGUGAGUGAGUUCUCACGAGAUCUGAUUGUUUAUGUGUGUGGCACCACCCCCAUCUUGUUCCUGCUCUCACCAUGUGAAG